UGGAAUAUAGCUCAGUGGUAGAGCACGUGACUAGCAUUCACCAUACCCCGGAUUUGAUAUCCAGCAUGGCAA
This 72-nucleotide transfer RNA is filed under the name Fukomys damarensis (Damara mole-rat). It matches the Rfam family "tRNA". From Rfam's summary of the family: Transfer RNA (tRNA) molecules are approximately 80 nucleotides in length. Their secondary structure includes four short double-helical elements and three loops (D, anti-codon, and T loops). The record is from Rfam by way of RNAcentral. Lineage: Eukaryota; Metazoa; Chordata; Mammalia; Rodentia; Bathyergidae.